RNAcentral lists this ribosomal RNA (492 nucleotides) under uncultured bacterium. RNAcentral describes it as "partial 16S ribosomal RNA". It matches the Rfam family "Bacterial small subunit ribosomal RNA", at positions 29 to 507 of the family's 1533-position model. The record is from RNAcentral.
AGUGAACGCUGGCGGUAGGCCUAACACAUGCAAGUCGAACGGCAGCACAGUAAGAGCUUGCUCUUACGGGUGGCGAGUGGCGGACGGGUGAGGAAUACAUCGGAAUCUACUUUUUCGUGGGGGAUAACGUAGGGAAACUUACGCUAAUACCGCAUACGACCUACGGGUGAAAGCAGGGGAUCUUCGGACCUUGCGCGAUUGAAUGAGCCGAUGUCGGAUUAGCUAGUUGGCGGGGUAAAGGCCCACCAAGGCGACGAUCCGUAGCUGGUCUGAGAGGAUGAUCAGCCACACUGGAACUGAGGCACGGUCCAGGCUCCUACGGGAGGCAGCAGUGGGGAAUAUUGGACAAUGGGCGCAAGCCUGAUCCAGCCAUACCGCGUGGGUGAAGAAGGCCUUCGGGUUGUAAAGCCCCUUUGUUGGGAAAGAAAAGCAGCAGGUUAAUACCCCGCUGUUCUGACGGUACCCAAAGAAUAAGCACCGGCUAACUUCGUG